Molecule: non-coding RNA, 46 nt
Organism: Schistosoma curassoni
Lineage: Eukaryota; Metazoa; Platyhelminthes; Trematoda; Strigeidida; Schistosomatidae
Source: Rfam
GCACUGAUGAGGAGUUCCACAAUAGAACGGAACGGCCGUCCAGUGC